GUCUCUGUCUAGCUCACCCAGAGUGUCAUGUCAACCAGCACCAGGGGCGCUGCACUGCAGCUGACCCUCAUCUCCUCUCAAUAUAUAUGUGUGUUGUCUGGGGGUGGGAGGGUGGGUUGAGAGGUAAGCUGUCUCUUAACAGCUGACAACAUAUGUUUUGGGAUUACAGUGUGGUCAAAGGUCACUGUGUGUAAGUGGAAGCUGUGUCUGGGGGCCGUGUCUGUCUGCAGUUUGAGAUGUACUUUGUGGAUCCAGGAGAUCCAGGGGAGGUCGGUAACCAGGAGAUCCAGGGGCGGUUGGUAACCAGGAGAUCCAGGGGAGGUUGGUAACCAGGAGAUCCAGGGGAGGUUGGUAACCAAGAGAUCCAGGGGAGGUUGGUAACCAGGAGAUCCAGGGGAGGUUGGUAUCCUGGGGAUCCAGGGGAGGUUGGUAUCUAGGAGAUCCAGGGGCGGUUGGUAUCUAGGAGAUCCAGGGGAGGUUGGUAUCUAGGAGAUCCAGGGGAGGUUGGUAUCCUGGCGAGACUCACUGUGUUUUCCACUAGCUGGCUUAAUGAAUGUAAUACAAUAUGAACAGACUUUUUUUUUUUUAACUAGGCAAGCCAGUUAAGAACAAAUACUUAUUUACAAUGACGCCUACCAAGGGGCCAGAGGCCUCCUGCAGGGACGGGAGCUGGGAUUAAAAAUACAAAUGGAGGACAAAACACACAUCACAACAAGAGAGACAUCCCAACCCUACAUAAAGAGAGACACCACGACACUACAUAAAGAGAGACACCACAACACUACAUAAAGAGAGACACCACAACACUACAUAAAGAGAGACAUCACUACACUACAUAAAGAGAGACACCACAACACUACGUAAAGAGAGACACCACUACACUACAUAAAGAGAGACACCACAACACUACAUAAAGAGAGACACCACAACACUACAUAAAGAGAGACACCACAACACUACGUAAAGAGAGACAUCACUACACUACAUAAAGAGAGACACCACAACACUACGUAAAGAGAGACACCACAACACUACGUAAAGAGAGACACCACUACACUACAUAAAGAGACACCACUACACUACAUAAAGAGAGACACCACAACACUACAUAAAGAGAGACACCACAACACUACAUAAAGAGAGACACCACAACACUACAUAAAGAGAGACAC
Oncorhynchus tshawytscha (Chinook salmon) is the source of this 1172-nucleotide long non-coding RNA. The record is from Ensembl. NCBI's taxonomy places the organism in Eukaryota, Metazoa, Chordata, Actinopteri, Salmoniformes, Salmonidae.